Molecule: transfer RNA, 73 nt
Filed under: Chloroflexota bacterium
Lineage: Bacteria; Bacillati; Chloroflexota
Also listed under: 1 other name
Description: tRNA-Arg
Rfam family: tRNA
About the family: Transfer RNA (tRNA) molecules are approximately 80 nucleotides in length. Their secondary structure includes four short double-helical elements and three loops (D, anti-codon, and T loops).
Source: RNAcentral
GCCCCUGUAGCUCAAUGGAUAGAGCACCGGACUUCUAAUCCGUUGGUUGUGAGUUCGAGUCUCACCAGGGGCG